This 402-nucleotide ribosomal RNA is filed under the name uncultured bacterium. Its description in RNAcentral is "bacterial SSU rRNA". It matches the Rfam family "Bacterial small subunit ribosomal RNA", at positions 355 to 749 of the family's 1533-position model. The record is from RNAcentral.
UGGGGAAUUUUGGACAAUGGGCGAAAGCCUGAUCCAGCCAUGCCGCGUGAGUGAAGAAGGCCUUCGGGUUGUAAAGCUCUUUUAGUCGGAAAGAAAGAGUCGCAAUGAAUAAUUGUGAUUUAUGACGGUACCGACAGAAAAAGCACCGGCUAACUACGUGCCAGCAGCCGCGGUAAUACGUAGGGUGCGAGCGUUAAUCGGAGUUACUGGGCGUAAAGGGUGCGCAGGCGGUUUUGCAAGUCAGAUGUGAAAGCCCCGGGCUUAACCUGGGAAUUGCGUUUGAAACUACAAGGCUAGAGUGCAGCAGAGGGGAGUGGAAUUCCAUGUGUAGCAGUGAAAUGCGUAGAGAUGUGGAAGAACACCGAUGGCGAAGGCAGCUCCCUGGGUUGACACUGACGCUCA